AGGACGAACGCUGGCGGCGUGCUUAACACAUGCAAGUCGAGCGGAAAGGCCCUUCGGGGUACUCGAGCGGCGAACGGGUGAGUAACACGUGAGUAAUCUGCCCCUAGCUCUGGGAUAGCUCCGGGAAACCGGGAUUAAUACCGGAUACGACCACUUUAGACAUCUGUUGUGGUGGAAAGAAUUUUGGCUAGGGAUGAGCUCGAGGCCUAUCAGCUUGUUGGUGGGGUAACGGCCUACCAAGGCGACGACGGGUA
RNAcentral lists this ribosomal RNA (254 nucleotides) under uncultured bacterium. Its description in RNAcentral is "partial small subunit ribosomal RNA". It matches the Rfam family "Bacterial small subunit ribosomal RNA", at positions 26 to 285 of the family's 1533-position model. The record is from RNAcentral.